This 1180-nucleotide long non-coding RNA is filed under the name Homo sapiens (human). Its description in RNAcentral is "HSALNT0016858". The record is from RNAcentral. Lineage: Eukaryota; Metazoa; Chordata; Mammalia; Primates; Hominidae.
GGUUUUCCAGGCUUCCUGUGCUGUCUUGGGGACCUGCUCAGAGGCUGGACCGCGUCAUGCUCAGAAGGCUGCCUGGAAUUUGAAUGUGGUAUCUGGAGCUUCAGUAGUCAUCCAGGACUGUAAGUGUGAAAGCCAUGCACUGAGAGUGGUGGAACAGAAGCCCUGUUUUCUUUAGACGCUGACUCCUGCUGUCUACCAGAUCCUCGUGGUACAAUGACUGGUGUAGACUGGCUUGUUGAAGUCACUCUCUGGAUCUGAGCAACGCUGGCUGAGCCGUGAUGAAGUAUUCCUAUCCAUCCACUAUGCUUCACAGUGGGAAUCUCUCACUGUUCAUCACCGCUGCCCUAGCAGCCGCAGGGAUUCUUCACCCAUGGUUGCUUAGGUUUAUAAGCAAGGAAGCUGAAUGAAGUCCCUUUCCUCUCUGGAUGAGCCCCUGGGUUUCUGGAAGAGUCUUAAAAUCACCCCUAAAUGGCUUCCAAGCACUGAAGCCCGAGAUGUUAGCUGGCCUGUGUGAGGCCUUGAGACAGAAUGCCACAGCCACACCCCAAGGAUGCUGAAGGGGAUUUCCCUCCUCUGUGGUUUUUCUCCUUUCUUCCCGCAGCACUCCUCCUACGUGCUAACAUCUUCUAGUCAAACAACUCUCCUUUUCAAAGGGACCAGGCACAGUUUCUGCUUAUCCCUGAGUAGCAGUGUUCAGUUUCCUGCCAGCCUGUGGAGUUUUUCAAACAAGCCAAUCACCUCCUCCUGUGGGAACUGAGAAGCACCCCACCCUCUCGAUACUACAAAGCCCCUGCUUGUUCCCUAGUGCAACUCCCAUGUGGUCCUGUGGAGCAUAUGGUAUCUUCCUCUUCUGGGCAGUGAGCAUAUGUGACUAAUAAACUAUCUAUCUCAUCUGUUCAGUGCCAGGUGUCAUUUGUUCUGCCAUCCCAUGACCUAGGGUGGGGAUUCCUUCCACACCAACAGGGUGAAUGCAAGGUGAUUAAAACAAGAAGCCUCUUCAGGAUCUAUAUCCUAGGGAAAAAAUUAAACAACAACAACAAAACAAGAAGCUUCAACUCUGACCCUGUAUUCCAGAUGUGUUACAGGGGCCUGUCUCCCCAGAGCCACUCUCCAGGUCAGAGCUUACCUCCCCUUGCUCAGGGUUAGGAGCUCUGGGCAGGAAAAGGACAUCAUGUUAAAA